RNA transcript from Momordica charantia (bitter melon), 1249 nucleotides. It is a transcript of the gene named shikimate kinase like 1, with no coding region annotated. The record is from RefSeq and is a predicted model, not a curated record. Lineage: Eukaryota; Viridiplantae; Streptophyta; Magnoliopsida; Cucurbitales; Cucurbitaceae.
AAAAAAAAUCUGAUAACACACACUGGGAAUGAAGGAUAAAGCGCCUACUCUGGAAGCGCUUACUCUGGAAGCGACUCCCGAGCGAGCUUUAUCAUGGCGAUGAAAAACACCGUUUCUUCUUCUCGACCUGAUCUCCAAUUCAGUAUCCGCUCGCCAAAAAUUCAUGCAAUGGCUCUCAAUUUGAGCUGCUCCUUGCCCCUGCCAUCUUCUGUUCAUCGUAAACAUAUUCUCCCACUUCAUGUUUCUGGACGAUUUCUGCACUCUUCCGCCAUUCAGCGCUGGAGAUCUCUGCCAUCGACUUGCUUAGCAUCAGACGGAGCUGCACUCAAUGUGGAGGCGAAGGUCACUGUCGAUGAUCUGUCUCUUGAAGUGCAGAAGAAAGCCAUGGAUGUAGCUCCUGAACUGAAAGGAACUUCCAUCUUUCUCGUGGGGAUCAACAGCUCCCAAAAAACUAAGUUGGGAAGACUCUUGGCUGAUGUAUUGAGAUACUACUACUUUGACAGUGAUAGUUUAGUUGUGGAAGCUAGUGGUGGUGCAGCUGCUGCCAAACUUUAUAAGGAGAGUGAUGAAAAUGGUUUUCGGGCGUCUGAGACUGAAGUGUUAAAACAAUUAUCUUCUAUGGGUCGACUAGUCGUAUGUGCUGGAAAUGGUGCUGUUCAGAGCUCUACUAAUUUGGCGCUUUUGAGGCAUGGCAUAACACUAUGGAUUGAUUUACCACUACAGAUGAUAGCAGAGGAAUUUGCAGAAGAUCAUAGCCAACUUCCUGCAUUUGAUAUAUCUACUUUUGGAUCUUAUUCUGAGGUGCUGGGUCAAAUAACUUCCCUCUACCAAGAAAUGAAAGAUGGCUAUGCCACGGCUGAUGCUUCAAUAUCACUCCAAAAGCUAGCAAGUAAAUCUGGAUACGACGAUCUCAAUGCUGUCACAACCGAAGACAUGGCUUUAGAGGCUCUCAAGGAGAUAGAAAAACUGACCAGAGUGAAGAAGAUGAUCGAAGCAGCAGCAAAACCUUUUUAACCAAAAAUGCAGUUCCUGUGGUGUUCACAUUUCAAAAAUUAAGGUUGCUUUUUGCCCCUCUGGGGUUGAAAAAGGUUCUUCUACUCCCGCUACCAUAGUUCCUAAACUUUAGUUUGUAAUAAUUUAGUUCUUGAACUUUAGUAUGUAACGAUUUAGUCCUUUUUUUUUUAAUUUGUAAUGAUUUAGUUCCUAUGGUAAAUGCUUUUAAGAUUUAAUGAGAUAUCUUAUAUAUCUA